CUGAAUAACUGAAUGAUCGCAUGGUCUAAGAACCGGCGACGCAUCUUUCAAAUGUCUGCCUUAUCAACUUUCGAUGGUAGUUUACACGCCUACCAUGGUUGUAACGGGUUACGAGAAAUCAGGGUUUGAUUUCGGAGAGGGAGCCUGAGAAACGGCUACCACAUCCAAGGAAGGCAGCAGGCACGCAAAUUACCCACUCCCAGCGCGGGGAGGUAGUGACGAAAAAUAACGAGGCGAUGCUCUUUGAGUGUCGCCAUCGGAAUGGGUACAAUUUAAACCCUUUAACGAAUUCUAUUGGAGGGCAAGUCUGGUGCCAGCAGCCGCGGUAAUUCCAGCUCCAAUAGCGUAUAUUAACGUUGUUGCGUUUAAAAAG
Molecule: ribosomal RNA, 373 nt
Filed under: Nematoda sp.
Lineage: Eukaryota; Metazoa; Nematoda
Description: SSU rRNA
Rfam family: Eukaryotic small subunit ribosomal RNA
Source: RNAcentral